CCUACGGGAGGCAGCAGUGGGGAAUAUUGCGCAAUGGGCGAAAGCCUGACGCAGCGACGCCGCGUGAGGGAUGAAGGUCUUCGGAUCGUAAACCUCUGUCAGCAGGGAAGAACGGUCACUGUGCUAAUCAGCAGUGAAUUGACGAUACCUGCAAAGGAAGCACCGGCUAACUCCGUGCCAGCAGCUGCGGUAAUACGGAGGGUGCGAGCGUUAAUCGGAAUUACUGGGCGUAAAGGGAUCGUAGGCGGUAUGUCAAGUCAAGGGUGAAAUCCCCGGGCUCAACGUGGGAACUGCCUUUGAUACUGGCAGACUUGAGUGUGUGAGAGGUUAGUGGAAUUCCAGGUGUAGGGGUGAAAUGCGUAGAUAUCAGGAGGAACAUCAGUGGCGAAGGCGACUAUCUGGCACAUAACUGACGCUGAGGAGCGAAAGCGUGGGUAGCAAACAGGAUUAGAUACCCGAGUAGUC
This 465-nucleotide ribosomal RNA is filed under the name uncultured bacterium. RNAcentral describes it as "partial 16S ribosomal RNA". It matches the Rfam family "Bacterial small subunit ribosomal RNA", at positions 338 to 795 of the family's 1533-position model. The record is from RNAcentral.